UUCCUCAAAAGGUUGUAAGAGUUAACAAAUGACUCAUCAAUUCUACUCUUAGGUAUGUGGCCAAAAGAAAUGAAAACAUGUCUAUGAUUUUCUUAACCUUUGCCUCAUGGCUGGUUUUUUUCAUGGUCACAAGAUGAUUGACUCAUUCCUUGAUAUCACUUCCAAAGUUCAGGACAGAAGAAGGUAAAAAUAAAUGGGGAAAAAACAUACUGAUCAGUUAGGUCUGUCAUUUUUUUAAAUCAAAACAAACAAAAAAAAAGUUUCUCCUAGAAAUGUGCUUGUCCAUUAGGUAGAAUGUUUGUCAUUUGGCCACUCUUGGAUGAAGGUGACUAUAGGAAAGAGGUCAUACAUAGGAUAUGGAUUAGGCCAACCAGCCAGCACUGUCUGCCACUAUAAUGUUAUUUAUUAGGUGCUUUAUUUAGCACUACCUAGCACACAUCACUUUCUCAUCUAAUCUUACAAAUUUGCAUGUAGUUAGGCUUUGGUGAAGACCAUCCAUGAGUUAGGGUCUAAAAGAUCAUCUAGUCCAACACUCCCUGUCUGAUUAUGGGGCAAGAUGUCAUUCAGACCCCUCUGGAACAGUUUCAUGAACCACUAUCUUCUCAACUAAUCCAUUCUUGCCAAAAAAUACUACAAUUAUCCUAAGUUCUUCUUCAUUCAAGUCAUAGCUACCUCCCCAUGGGUUCUUUUGUUUAAAUAAUUAGUUAUAAGUUCAUAUUAAUUAAGAAAGCAUCAUCUCAUUUAAAUCUUAGAACUACUAUAUAAAUUGAUUAAAUAGGCAAUAUAAAUCUCAUCUAACCAACUGGGAUUCUGAGACUCAGCUAAUUUAACAGACUUUAAUACAGACUCUCUAGUGAAAAAUGAUAAUCAUAAUCCAAUUCCUUUCUCAUAGGCGGCCCUUCAUGUAUUUAAAGAAGGGUUCUUAAGCUAGGGUCAUGAACAAUCAAUGAGUCAGCUUUGGGUGGACCAUGGAUGUGUUAAAAUUACAUUCAAUAUUGGAUAAAUGAUCCAUUUUUUGUAGAAAGGGUCCUUAGCUCUCAUCACAUUUUAAAAUAAUCUGACUCCCCAAAACCGCUGAUUCUAAAAUGAUUACGAAAUGCUUCUUCUUCCCUUGAGUUUUCAUGUCCCCAGAAGAAAUAUCUCCAGUUUCUCCAGUCAAGCCUCUUGCUUUCCCCUACUCUACCCCCAGACCUAUUCCACCUGCUCUCCCCAUCUUAUCAAAUGGCAGUCACCCGAGAGUCACGUUUGCCUCUUUACCAUCCCACACCCUCACCUCUCCAACACAUACUCUGUUCAUUUUUCUUGCCAAUCUACAUGAGCCCAUACACAUUUCUUCAUCCCAGCUGCCAUGAUCAUUUCCAGCUCGCGCUAAUGCAGUCUCCAAAUAGCACCCUUCCUCCUUCCACACUCACCCGUCUCUCAGCCAUUCUUCAUACAAGAGCCAAGAAUAGUCUUUAUGAAGUAUCAGAUCACGUGACUCCCUUGCUUGAAAGACUUAGUGGUUUCCUCUGACAUGCUGUAAAAGUUCCAGCCUCCUACCCAUGGCCCUGAAGACCAUGGGUGAUCUGACCCAAGCCUUCCUUCCUUUUUUUUUUUUUUGGAAGGAGGGGUGCUAUUUUAGGGCCACAAGCGAGGCAUAUGGAGGUUUCCAGGCUAGGGGUGGAGUUGGAUCUACAGCUGCCAGCCUAUGCCAUAGCCACAGCAAUGUGGGAUCUGAGCCUUGUCAGUGACCUACACCACAGCUCACAGCAACGCUGGAGCCUUAACCCACUGAGCAAGGCCAGGGAUCCAACCCACAUCCUCAUGGAUCCUAGUCAAGUUCCUUAACUGCUGAGCCACAAAGGAACUCCUAAGCCUUCCUUUCUGAUGCUACCUCACUCUUCUUGCUCCCCUCAUUCUCAACAUCAGAUAGAGAGCCAUCUGCUUUCUUUCAGUUCCUACCACAUAUCCUAUUUCUUCCCAUCUCAAGACUGUUUGUUCCCUUCCAGAGUGUUCUUUAUCCUGUUCCUCCCCAUCCUUCAGUCCUCAGUUUUAAUAUUCUCCACAGAGAUACUCUGGCCAUCUUCCUCAGUUAGGACCAAUUCACGCGUCCCUACUUACUACAGCUCCUUCCUGAGUUACUGAUUAGUUAGUAAGCUGGUUUAUGUGUGUGUGUUUAUUUAUUCCAUUUUCUCCUUCAGACCGUAAGCUCCAUGAGGGAAGGUUCUCUAUUUGUCUGUUACUGUUGUGCUUCCAGUGGCUGGUACAGUUCUUACUAUAUGAUGAAAACCAAAACUUCGGCAAAUGAAUGAAUACCCAUUUUCAUGUCCCCUCACUCCUGGGCAUAUUCCAAUGUGUAACAUACCUCUUAAAAUGGGUGGUCCCAAAACUAAACUCAAAUUUCAAGGUGAGGCCUAACCCUUUAAGAGAGGACUAGGCAUGCAGUGCUUCUGUAAUUCUUCCUUCCUUUCUAAUAUCGAAAUAGGAUACUUCACAAACAUCUGCAAGACCAUGUUCCAGUAAGAUCCAUGUCUCUGCCAUUGGUAAAUAUCGUCAUUCAUAUACUUAGUAUGUCACAAGUUAAAGAGAGAUUUUGAGUAUGGAUUCAAAAAGCAUCAGUCCAGAAUGCAGCAAGCCCAUCUCCCAGUUCAGAGUUCUUUGUAAUGUCUCACUAAAAUCAGGGUGACGAUGCCCUCAAUUUGAAAUUUGUUUCCCAAGGAGUUCCCCUCGUGGCUCAGUGGUUAACAAAUACGACUAGGAACCAUGAGGUUGCGGGGUUCAAUCCCUGGCCUUGCUCAGUGGGUUAAGGAUCCGGCAUUGCCGCGAGCUGUGGUGUAGAUUGCAGACGCAGCUUGGAUCCCACGUUGCUGUGGCUCUGGCGUAGGCUGGUGGCUACAGCUCCAAUUCGACCCCUAGCCGGGGAACCUCCAUAUGCCGAGGGGGCAGCCCAAGAAAUGGCAAAAAAAAAGACAAAAAUAAAAUAAAAUAAAAAUAAAUAAAAUUUGUUCCCCAAAUAAAACAUAUUUCAAACUUGGAAUAUGCACAAUAAACAUUUCUAUUUCUAAUGCCCCAUCUCCAAGACACCUGACAGUCCAUCAGUUUGUUUCCCCUUCACUCUUCCUGCUACAAAGCACAAAAACACCAGGAGCCCCAAGUAUCCGGGGGGUUUUCCAGACACAACAGAUUCAGCUUGUUUGCUGAGUACAGGAUUAAGUUCAAAACAUUUUUCUACAAUUCGGAUAUACAAACAAGCUAGAGCUGGAUGAGGCUGCUGAAAAAAAAAAAUCAACUUGUCAUCUCUGGUUUGUGGAAGAAGCAACACACAAAAUCAAACCAACCUGUUAAAAUUAUUACCGUCUCCCUCCUCACCAACAAAGAUGCAGCGGAGAGCAAAGAGCAUUAAUCGCUUGAAAAUAUCUAAUCAGAGUAGAGGCCUUUUAUAUUACCAUUCAAAUUCUUAACUGCCCUCAGCCUGAUUUAUUUUAAGCCAAGGCCCACAGGCCUUACACAUUUCAUGGUUAUUUUCUCUAGUUUUGUAGCCUUUAUUUUCUUCCUCGUGUCUCAUUUUUGUCCCCCUCCCCCAUUCCAUUCUUUCCCUCCAAAUGAACAGAACCUGGUUCCUAUCACCUAGAGAUGAAUUAACCUUUCCAAAUACCCUGACAUCGCCUUCCUAGAAAAGUUCCCUGGAGCUCUGUGGCCAUCGGAGAAGAGAGGCAGCUUGGCUUUGACUUUAAUAUACAUUUUGAAAUACCUUUUGCAGGAUGGCUGGAAAUAAGGAACUAAUAACAAAGUGCUCCUAAAAUUACCAGUAAAUCUGAAGCAUUCCGCCUGGUGCACAGCCUUUGAGAGUUUUUAAUUCAUCAAUUAAGUGAUCAAAGAUCUUGCUCAAGAUACGAUUACACUUCUUUUGUUCUCUUUGUGAAAUCUUAUUAAAAUUGAUAGCAUUCCUAGCAUCAAAAGAGUUCCGAAGCCAAAAAUAAAAACGGACAAAAUGACACCCGAACAUUCAUCACUUUCUAAAGGCUAUGAUUGGUCCUCAGCUAUCCUGGGAUACAAAUGCUAGGACAAACCAUUCCACAGUGGUGAUGUCAAAGCAAGAACCUGAAGCUUCCACAGUCCUAGAGCCGCUACUGUGCAUUGAGGCUGUAGCCAGGCCCUCCUGGCUAAGGGGGCAGACGGAGACCUUCUGGCUACUUGCCAAAGCCAAACCCAGGAGUAAAUAAAUUUCCAUAAUAGAGAAUGGAGGUCUUUCAGUGGCCGCUGAUGACCUCUGCAGCGUACACAGGAUUCUUCUUCCUUAUACCACUCAAAACAAAACAAAGCCACAGCCCAAGAAUCAGAAGGAAAUGUUUCUUAAAUUGCCACAAUCCUUCUUAAUCCUUGUUCCCCAGCAGUCAGUUAUUUUGAUAGUAUUUUGUCUGAAUACUUUGGGUUGUCUGCAAGAGGGGCUAACAAACCAUUUCUGUAAAACAGUCAGACAAUAUUUUAGGCUCCGUGGGCUCCUCAGUCUCUUAGGCAACUCCUCAACUCCACCAUUGUCCCGUGAAGGCAGCCAUAGAGGACGUGUCAGUGCCUGGGCGUGGCUGUGAUCCAAUAAAUCUUUAUUUACAAAAACAGGCAUUGGGCCAGAUUUGCCUGUGGACCAGUCUGCCCACCCUCGCUCUAAAACAUGGUCCAGACCACAGCCCACACUUGGGGACCUUAACCCACAUCACAAGAGUGCUGGGCAAUUUGUAGGAGAGUUCUUAUUAUGGCCUCAGGACAGAAAAAGAGAAUUGGUCUGAUAGGGGAAAAAAUGGUUAUUGAGCCACAAGAACAACUUUCAUAUGGUUUUCUCUUCAAAAAGUUCGUUUUACUCUCCAAAUUAAAUUUUUUCAGAAACAUUCAUUGUUUCUUUUAAAGAACAUUAGAUUUCACAUUACAUCUCCGUUAUUUAUUACCUGAGUUUUGGUCUUAACAAAUAUGAUUUUGUUAUUCUCUGUCAUCAAUGGAGAAAGCACAUGUGGUUUUGAUUGACAAAAUUGUGAUAAAAUUCACUGCAUCCUUAAAAAAAAAAAAAGUGAUUGAAAAGUUUUCAGACUGUAGCAGAGAACAUAGGGGGGAACACGAGAGGAUUGAAUUUCAACAAAAGACAUGCCAGAUUUUUUUUUUCGGGCUCUUAGUCUUCAACAUUCUCCCACUACUCAGUAUCUAAUUAGAUACCGGAGCAAUCCAGGAAUCAUGUGUUUCUCUUUAAAAUGUUGGCAAAGUUCAUCUCACGAUGGUUAUUGCUGGGUACACUUAGGUUCCCCACCAGGGACCGGUACUGCGUGACAUCACAUGCUGUGUCACAAACAAUGGAACGGAAAGAAGCGUGCACGCUCUGAGACAAGCAAAACGCUCCGUCAUCUUGGUUUUUCUCUCUUUUCAUUUAAUUCAAACUCACAUUCAUUGGGUUGUUUGAAAACCCUCUUUGUCUGUCAACUUCUUCCAGAAACAGGUACCCUUUGCUAUCAUUGCCCCAAGAAAAAUCAAUUUUAAAAAAAUCUCACGGGCCACAUAAUGUCUGUAUUGUGAAGCUCUGUUGGAACAGCUUUCUUGAUUAACUUAAGACCGAAUAUAACAUGGGAUAUUCACUGUGAACGCCAUGGCAAGUCACCCCAUAACCUAUUUGCCCUUAAAAAUAGGUUGCCUACUGGGCAAGAAAAAAAGAGAAUGGACAUAAUGCAAACGACGUGACCUUCAAAGCUGUAUGGCGUGUGGUUGUCUCCCUCAAGAAUUGCUAUGUGUGUCAGAGACCCACCAUGCCAUCUUCAUGCUACAUCCCUCCUGAUGCAGAACUGAAGCAAAAGGAACCCAUCAGCUACUAGAAACAUGUUGAGGAUGCCAAAAAAUACACAGACACACAUCUUCUUAACUUGGAAAAAUGUGUUGUUUGUGAGUGGAGAAUAAAUAUCUUGAAACUCUACUCUCUUCCACAUGUCUGCGUUCCUUCCACUGGGCUACAUUCCAAAGAGGUCAUAGUAGUUCCAUGUUUUUCUCUAAAAUAUGAAAAACUGUUGCGGAACCGACUUAGUAAAUGGUUUUCUUCACAAUGACUAAUGUACAAAUGUUCCACAUAAUUGCCUUCAAGUGAAUUUAACAAUAUUCAUGGAGUUCCCUGGUGUCUCAGCGAAUUAAGGAUCCAGCAUUGUCACCGCUGCAGUGUGGGUUCAAUCCCUGAGCUAGGAACUUCUACUUGCCACAGGCACGACUCCCCCC
This 6219-nucleotide long non-coding RNA is filed under the name Sus scrofa (pig). RNAcentral's name for it is "lncRNA (ENSSSCG00000060193.1)". Lineage: Eukaryota; Metazoa; Chordata; Mammalia; Artiodactyla; Suidae. The record is from RNAcentral.